AUGUCUGAAAGCGGCGCCGGCUGCCUCCAUGUCGGCGGGUCGGCGUGCGGCGCGGGACGCCUCCUCGAGCCCGGCGUCUCCUGUUGCAGGUUCAAGGCGGGGCACAUCCUCGAGCCAUGCACCUCCUUCUGCGGACUCAAGGUGGUGCCCCGAUGCGGACUGCAGCCGGUCGGAGGAAUGGCAUCUCGUUCGGCCAACAUAUUGGUGGCGUCAGCGGCGCUCCGACCUCCAGCUUCCGAGCCGCCGACCCGCGUCUUCAUUUUCUGCCCCUGGGCAGAGAGCAUUCGUCAAGUUCAUAGAAUGCCGUCAGAUUGGCCAUCGCGCUCGGAACUGCACCAACCCCCUGAAGACGCCACCACCGCCUCCACCUCAGACGCUUCGCCUGCGGCCACCGUACAACGGUUGCCUAGUUCUUCUGCAGCAUGCCUGCACCCCGCUGGACCAAUCACCCGCUCGCAUCCUGUCGACGGAGAGCCCCGCCAUCGAGAAAGACAUGUGCCGGCGCCGGGUCGCCACGAUGACGACGACGAUAAUGAGUGUGGUGCGGUUAGCCCUGCUUCGGGCCGAAGGGCAAGGAACAGAGCGCACGACCGCUCGCCUGACGCGUCGUCCCGAGACUCUGUUGCCGCUGCCACCCUGGAUUCUCGCGGACGCUCACCUCCGCCAUCGCCGCGCACCACCUCUCGAGACAUCUCGAGAUCAAGACUACCAGCUCUGCCAUGGUCUCGCCUCCGCCAUUGCCGCGCACCACCGCUCAGGACAUUAUCGAGAUCGAGACUACCAGCUCUGCCAUGGGCUGGCUCUGUGGAACCACCGCCGGUCUAG
RNAcentral lists this ribosomal RNA (825 nucleotides) under Triticum aestivum (bread wheat). RNAcentral describes it as "partial small subunit ribosomal RNA". The record is from RNAcentral. Lineage: Eukaryota; Viridiplantae; Streptophyta; Magnoliopsida; Poales; Poaceae.